RNAcentral lists this small RNA (118 nucleotides) under Marmota monax (woodchuck). Lineage: Eukaryota; Metazoa; Chordata; Mammalia; Rodentia; Sciuridae. The record is from RNAcentral.
GCUAGAUGUGGUAAUUGCAUAUCUGUAGUCCCAGUUACAGGGAAGGCUGAGGCAGGAGGAUUGCUUGAGGCCAAGAAUUUGGGGUCAGCCUGAGCAACAUAGCAAGACUCCAUUUCUU